Molecule: ribosomal RNA, 73 nt
Filed under: uncultured bacterium
Lineage: Bacteria
Description: partial 16S ribosomal RNA
Rfam family: Bacterial small subunit ribosomal RNA
Source: RNAcentral
AUACAGGUGYUGCAUGGYUGUCGUCAGCUCGUGUCGUGAGAUGUUGGGUUAAGUCCCGCAACGAGCGCAACCC